UAGCUAGCCUACCUACACUGUCUGCCUCAGUCCCUCUGGGCUUUAUUUCCUCUUGUUGAACCGUACUGUGCUCCUUCUCAUAUCACUGACUGGAUAUUGCAUAACAUCAAGGGAGAAAUUGCCUGAAUUCAGUCAUUCUCUGUCCUGAGCACCCGUGACACACUCAGCAUCUUUUAUUUAUACUGUGCUGCUAGCUAUUCUCAGACACACACAUCUGUAUAGGUAGCCCCAUGACAACUCUCUAUCUCUCUCUCUCUCCCGCACACACACACACACACACACACACACACACACACACACACACACACACACACACACACACACACAGCUAGCAACAUGGCCUCCUUUUAUGCCCGUUUUGUGCCAACUCCUCCACCUUUACAAAUACGAUAAGAGCUGAGCCAUAAGAACUCUUCCAGGGCUAUGGUAAUGGUUAACCAGAUAAUGAUUUUUUGGGGGCGGGACUUGCAAACAGACAUAAUUUUUUAUCAACGUUUUUACCCCUCUCUGCUCGCUUGCCCCUCUCAACAAGUUACAUUCAUUUCUACAGGAGGAAAAAUGGAGGGGACGUUCGAUAAAGAGAAACCAGAGUUGGAAUAUAAAAAUCCCAAUGAUAACCAAGGUGGGAUCCAGCGGCAGCUAAGAGACAGAGACCUUCUCAAGAAAAGAAAGGCAGAGGCCGAGGAGAAGGCGAUUAACCAGGUAGAGAGCAGGAGGAAGAGAGCGAGGGGAAGAGAGGAGAAGAGUAGCUCGGGAAGACGAGGAAGGCCGAGGAAGACUGAUCCAACACCGAAGCUUCCGGCUUCCCAGGAAGAGCCAGAACAGGAGGCUGUCAUUGUAAAGGUGGUGUCCAAACCAGUGGAAGCCACCUCUGCCCCUACCUUGAUCUCACUAUCCCCAUUCCUUCCGGUGGACCCUAGCCCGCCAGAAUCACUACCGGCGUAUGUUCCCCCCGUCCCAGCCCCUAUCCCUAUCCCUAUCCUUGCCCCUGCUCCUGUUGUUGCCCCUUCUCCAAUGUAUAACCCUGUUACUGCCCCUGCACCAUCCCUGUUGGAGACCCUGUACACAGAAGGUAGUGACCAGGGUAGUGACACCCUGGACCAGGUGCUGAUUGAGGACUUGGGUCCAGAUGAGAAGGAAGACGUCCCUCCAUCUCAAAACAACUGGGGCACUGAUCAAGGUUCAAAUGAGGAGCCGUCUGUCAAUGUGCCUGAACAGAAUAGAGUGUUCUCUACGUUCCCCAGGUUCUACACUGGUGCUCCUUCACAAGAUCAUCCACCAAGAACCUUCUUCUGAAAUCCACUCAGAUCUGGCCUCUGAUAACAUACAGACAGAUUACAUGCAAAGUAAUCUAUUCUGUCAACAUGUGCAUUUGAGAGGUGAUGCAGUUUAGCCUUACUGGUUAACUCAUCCUUGUAAUUUUGAGCCUGAUAGGGUAUGGAUACGAAAUGCAUGAAUUCCAGCUUUAAACCUACCCAUGGAUUUAUUUAUUUCUGCUUCAUGAAUGGUGUCUAAAUUUGUUAUGUUGCAAGAACUGCACUGUCUGUAUUUAAUAAAUGAUUUGUACAAGCUAAAUAUGGCAGCAUUUGAAAGUACAUUUGUAUUUAAUCAUUUCUGGUAACUGUGUUUUCUAAUUGUGAUUUAAAUUUUUUUUUAUACCAAUGGUUUAUUUGAGAUAAGCGCUAUGAUAAUAAAGGUGUGAUGCUUUGUUGAUAAUAUGACUGUCUCCUUGUUAUGAUCAUCUACAAAACAAGAACAAGUCUCAGUUGUUCAAUACUAC
Molecule: long non-coding RNA, 1780 nt
Organism: Salmo trutta (river trout)
Lineage: Eukaryota; Metazoa; Chordata; Actinopteri; Salmoniformes; Salmonidae
Product: cyclin-dependent kinase inhibitor 1C-like
Source: Ensembl